GUAAAACCAGAUUUAGUUAGUUGUAAGUCAGCGUUUAAACAUCACACCCAAAGUUAUUAAAAGAAAACAAGGAAUAAUCUAUCGACCACCAUUUACCAAUUGCCACUAACAAGCAUGGUAGCGACCAAAGCUCAUCGUAAUACUGAUUCAACGUACAACCGCUAUUGCCCUUGCAUGCUCUUCCCGGUUAAGAAUUCAGCUGCUUCUCCUAUAAUUUGGCGCAAUGCAAGAUGAGCCAAGUGAUCUAUUUUCCGGCAAGCUGAAGCAGAUUUUUAUGAACGAAGCUUAUCCCGCCGUCGACCUUCUAUCGUGCCCAGCACUGACGCUGCAUUCCAUCGUCCCAUGCGAGGCACACUCCGCCUUUCCAGACCAAUGUCGUGCAGCCGUCCGGGCGACGUUCAGAUGUAUAAGCGGUUUAACUGAUGAGGCAAUAACGAUGGUGAAAACUGUGACAGACAACAGUUGGAGCAGCUGCAGUUGCAGCAGUUUGUAGUUGCGCAAAAGCCAGAUGUGAUGAAUGGGCGCCGACACCGGUUCGGCAGAAAGGUGGAUGCGUCAAUGAUUAUGCACUUGUCACAUUAUUUUUUUCGUGCCACUUGUGCUCAUUAGGAACGAUAAGCAAAAGGAGCUACAAUGGGUGCAUCGGCGUCGUUGUUAGGAGUAAUGGAUACCGUCGGGAGAUUCAUGGAUAACCUCUGGUAGAAAGAUGGAUGUCCCUUCCAGUAAGAUGGAUGCCCUUGGGCCGAAACUGGAUGUGCUCUCUGAAAUGUGGAUCACCACUGGUGGAAAGGUGGAUCACUUCGGCAGAAAGGUUGACAACCUAAAGAGAAAGGUUGAUGCACUCUGGCAGAAAGGUUGAUGACCUUUAGAGAAAGGUUGAUGCGCUCUGGCAGAAAGGUUGAUGACCUUCAUUGAAGGUCAACCAUCAACCCGUCAACCUUCCUGCCGGCUACAGCCGCGCGGCUCCAGUUUCACAGGCGCACCACCGGAUACAAAUCCCCUGCAAAAGAUCCUGUUUAACCCUCGGUAACUCGGAUGCCGUCCGGCGGAAAAGGCACAUGAUAGCCCGUGGUGCCCGUAACCACACACGGGUUUGAAUUAUCUGACGCAGUCAGGAGGUUCACAGAUCGUGGCGCCGAGGCGGAGACCGAUGCUGGUCUUCAGUUCGUCCUCGCUCAGCAGCUUACCGAUGUGAGUGCACGGCAGGGCAUUCAACCAGAUGUGGGCUUCUGGCCUAGACGGAGCAAGCAAGCAAGCAAGCUGCGCUGAUUGAUCCUGUCUCCUUGAAACACCUCCAGCAGGGCCGC
Long non-coding RNA from Paramacrobiotus metropolitanus, 1307 nucleotides. RefSeq lists it as uncharacterized. Lineage: Eukaryota; Metazoa; Tardigrada; Eutardigrada; Parachela; Macrobiotidae. The transcript has 6 exons. The record is from RefSeq and is a predicted model, not a curated record.